CCUACGGGAGGCAGCAGUGAGGAAUAUUGGUCAAUGGGCGAGAGCCUGAACCAGCCAAGUCGCGUGAGGGAGUACUGCCCUAUGGGUUGUAAACCUCUUUUGUCUGGGAGCAAAAGCCGGACGUGUCCGGCUGUGAGAGUACCCGAAGAAAAAGCAUCGGUUAACUCCGUGCCAGCAGCCGCGGUAAUACGGAGGAUUCGAGCGUUAUCCGGAUUUAUUGGGUUUAAAGGGUGCGCAGGCGGAUUUUUAAGUCAGCGGUAAAAUCGUGGGGCUCAACCCCAUCCAGCCGUUGAAACUGGGGAUCUAGAGUGUGGGAGAGGUAUGCGGAAUGCGUGGUGUAGCGGUGAAAUGCAUAGAUAUCACGCAGAACCCCGAUUGCGAAGGCAGCAUACCGGUGCACAACUGACGCUCAGGCACGAAAGCGUGGGUAUCGAACAGGAUUAGAUACCCCGGUAGUC
RNAcentral lists this ribosomal RNA (458 nucleotides) under uncultured bacterium. RNAcentral's name for it is "partial 16S ribosomal RNA". It matches the Rfam family "Bacterial small subunit ribosomal RNA", at positions 338 to 795 of the family's 1533-position model. The record is from RNAcentral.